RNAcentral lists this ribosomal RNA (465 nucleotides) under Vreelandella stevensii. RNAcentral describes it as "partial 16S ribosomal RNA". It matches the Rfam family "Bacterial small subunit ribosomal RNA", at positions 338 to 795 of the family's 1533-position model. Lineage: Bacteria; Pseudomonadati; Pseudomonadota; Gammaproteobacteria; Oceanospirillales; Halomonadaceae. The record is from RNAcentral.
CCUACGGGUGGCUGCAGUGGGGAAUAUUGGACAAUGGGCGAAAGCCUGAUCCAGCCAUGCCGCGUGUGUGAAGAAGGCCUUCGGGUUGUAAAGCACUUUCAGUGGGGAAGAAAGCCUUGGGGCUAAUACCCUCGAGGAAGGACAUCACCCACAGAAGAAGCACCGGCUAACUCCGUGCCAGCAGCCGCGGUAAUACGGAGGGUGCGAGCGUUAAUCGGAAUUACUGGGCGUAAAGCGCGCGUAGGCGGUCUGAUAAGCCGGUUGUGAAAGCCCCGGGCUCAACCUGGGAACGGCAUCCGGAACUGUCAGGCUAGAGUGCAGGAGAGGAAGGUAGAAUUCCCGGUGUAGCGGUGAAAUGCGUAGAGAUCGGGAGGAAUACCAGUGGCGAAGGCGGCCUUAUGGACUGACACUGACGCUGAGGUGCGAAAGCGUGGGUAGCAAACAGGAUUAGAUACCCGUGUAGUC